AUGGAGGAUACAUACGUUUGGGUGUUGCAUACCUUCUUAAGAGCUCAUUGUCAAAAGAAGCCGAGGUCUGUAAUUACUGACGGAGACGCAGCCAUGAUAAGGGCCAUCAGGAAGGUCCUUACUGACGUGUGGCAUCGACUAUGUUCGUGGCAUAUUGAGAAAAACAUGCAGAAACACCUCCACCACAAGUCCCUUAAGGAGUUCAUGGCUCUUAUUUAUUAUGCCACUACACAUGAUGAGUUUGAGGCGAGAUGGGCAGCUUUUAGAGCUAAAUGGGAGUCGGAGAAAACUGAAACAUGA
RNAcentral lists this ribosomal RNA (300 nucleotides) under Triticum aestivum (bread wheat). Its description in RNAcentral is "partial small subunit ribosomal RNA". Lineage: Eukaryota; Viridiplantae; Streptophyta; Magnoliopsida; Poales; Poaceae. The record is from RNAcentral.